RNAcentral lists this ribosomal RNA (779 nucleotides) under uncultured Neocallimastigales. Its description in RNAcentral is "partial large subunit ribosomal RNA". It matches the Rfam family "Eukaryotic large subunit ribosomal RNA", at positions 22 to 644 of the family's 3401-position model. The record is from RNAcentral. Lineage: Eukaryota; Fungi; Neocallimastigomycota; Neocallimastigomycetes; Neocallimastigales.
CAUAGCGACUAUCGUGGCAUAUCAAUAAGCGGAGGAAAAGAAACUAACAAGGAUUCCCUUAGUAACGGCGAGUGAAGCGGGAAGAGCUCAAAUUUGAAAUCUUCAAGGUUCUACCUUGACGAAUUGUAGUUUAUAGAAGUGUUUUCUGUUAGUAGAGUGGCAAAAGUUCUUUGGAAUAGGACAUCAUAGAGGGUGAGAAUCCCGUAUUUGGUCAUUCCUUCCUAGCGUUGUGAUACACUUUCAACGAGUCGGAUUGUUUGGGAAUGCAGUCCAAAAUGGGUGGUAAAUUUCAUCUAAAGCUAAAUAUUGGCGAGAGACCGAUAGCGAACAAGUACCGUGAGGGAAAGAUGAAAAGAACUUUGAAAAGAGAGUUAAACAGUACGUGAAAUUGUCAAAAGGGAAGCGUUUGACACCAGUGUUGUUUUUCCGAAAAUCAAUUACUGAAUGUUUUAUUUUUGAAGAGUUAUGACUUCAUCGGCUUGCUUCCUUUCUUUAUCGAAACUUUCUUAAUGCACUUUUCGGUUAACAAGUCAACAUCAAUUUCUUUUGUUGUAAAAGGGUACUGAGGAAGGUGGCUUUCUUUUCGGAGAAAGUGUUUAUAGCCUUGUAGCCUCUGCAAUCGGAGAGAUUGAGGUCUGCAACGUAGAUCCUUCGGGGUUAGAUACGUUUGUGCUAAGUUAUAGCUUUUCAUAGACAACUUGUUGACUAUGUUAGUCUUGUAGCUUACUCGCUGAUGCUAUUUUACCUACGCUUAGGAUGUUGAUAGUCACAGCGUGUAC